RNAcentral lists this long non-coding RNA (218 nucleotides) under Elaeis guineensis (African oil palm). RNAcentral's name for it is "long non-coding RNA (EGUI_LNC067467)". The record is from RNAcentral. Lineage: Eukaryota; Viridiplantae; Streptophyta; Magnoliopsida; Arecales; Arecaceae.
UGCCACGUAGUCGAGGUUCAGCCGUCUCUCUCCUUGUUUAGGUACUUUUAUACCUUCAAGCGCCAUCCUUCGGUGAAAGACUGGUGGUACUUCUCCCCCCAGUUCGGUAAGAAGGGGUUCGAGCUCUGCCAAGAGAAGGUGGCCAGGAAAUUCCCAGAGCUUGACCUCAACUUCCUGGGCGAGGAGUCUAAAGAUGAGGCCGGCCCCUCGUCUGCCGC